UACAGAGGUCUCAAGCGUUGUUCGGAUUCAUUGGGCGUAAAGGGUGCGUAGGCGGCGCCGUAAGUCAGGUGUGAAAUUUCGGAGCUUAACUCCGAAACUGCAUUUGAUACUGCGGUGCUUGGGGACUGGAGAGGAGACUGGAAUUUACGGUGUAGCAGUGAAAUGCGUAGAGAUCGUAAGGAAGACCAGUGGCGAAGGCGGGUCUCUGGACAGUUCCUGACGCUGAGGCACGAAGGCCAGGGGAGCAAACGGG
RNAcentral lists this ribosomal RNA (253 nucleotides) under uncultured bacterium. Its description in RNAcentral is "partial 16S ribosomal RNA". It matches the Rfam family "Bacterial small subunit ribosomal RNA", at positions 524 to 776 of the family's 1533-position model. The record is from RNAcentral.